AACGAACGCUGGCGGCAGGCCUAACACAUGCAAGUCGAGCGAGCCCUUCGGGGUGAGCGGCGGACGGGUGAGUAACGCGUGGGAACGUGCACUUCUCUGCGGCAUAGCUACGGGAAACUGAGAGUAAUACCGCAUACGCGCUAUGGGGGAAAGAUAUAUCGAAGAAGGAUCGGCACGAGUGGAAUUCGGUAGUUGGUGGGGUAAUGGCCCACCAAGCCGACGAUCCAUAGCUGGGUUGAGAGGAUGAUCAGCCACACUGGGACUGAGACACGGCCCAGCCUCCUACGGGAGGCAGCAGUGGGGAAUCUUAGACAAUGGGGGCAACCCUGAUCGAGCCAUGCCGCGUGAGUGAUGAAGGCCUUAGGGUUGUAAAGCUCUUUCAGCUGGGAAGAUAAUGACGGUACCAGCAGAAGAAGCCCCGGCUAACUCCGUG
This 433-nucleotide ribosomal RNA is filed under the name uncultured bacterium. RNAcentral's name for it is "partial 16S ribosomal RNA". It matches the Rfam family "Bacterial small subunit ribosomal RNA", at positions 29 to 507 of the family's 1533-position model. The record is from RNAcentral.